CCUACGGGUGGCAGCAGUGGGGAAUAUUGCACAAUGGGCGCAAGCCUGAUGCAGCCAUGCCGCGUGUGUGAAGAAGGCCUUCGGGUUGUAAAGCACUUUCAGCGGGGAGGAAGGCGGUUAGGUUAAUAACCUCAUCGAUUGACGUUACCCGCAGAAGAAGCACCGGCUAACUCCGUGCCAGCAGCCGCGGUAAUACGGAGGGUGCGAGCGUUAAUCGGAAUUACUGGGCGUAAAGCGCACGCAGGCGGUCUGUCAAGUCGGAUGUGAAAUCCCCGGGCUCAACCUGGGAACUGCAUUCGAAACUGGCAGGCUAGAGUCUUGUAGAGGGGGGUAGAAUUCCAGGUGUAGCGGUGAAAUGCGUAGAGAUCUGGAGGAAUACCGGUGGCGAAGGCGGCCCCCUGGACAAAGACUGACGCUCAGGUGCGAAAGCGUGGGGAGCAAACAGGAUUAGAUACCCGGGUAGUC
Molecule: ribosomal RNA, 465 nt
Filed under: uncultured Klebsiella sp.
Lineage: Bacteria; Pseudomonadati; Pseudomonadota; Gammaproteobacteria; Enterobacterales; Enterobacteriaceae
Description: bacterial SSU rRNA
Rfam family: Bacterial small subunit ribosomal RNA
Source: RNAcentral